UGAGGAAUAUUGGACAAUGGGUGGAAGCCUGAUCCAGCCAUCCCGCGUGAAGGAUGACGGUCCUAUGGAUUGUAAACUUCUUUUGUACAGGGAUAAACCUGCCCUCGUGAGGGCAGCUGAAGGUACUGUACGAAUAAGCACCGGCUAACUCCGUGCCAGCAGCCGCGGUAAUACGGAGGGUGCGAGCGUUAUCCGGAUUUAUUGGGUUUAAAGGGUCCGGAGGCGGGCCUGUAAGUCAGGGGUGAAAUCUCAUAGCUUAACUAUGAAACUGCCAUUGAUACUGCAGGACUUGAGUAAAUUUGAAGUGGCUGGAAUAAGUAGUGUAGCGGUGAAAUGCAUAGAUAUUACUUAGAACACCGAUUGCGAAGGCAGGUCACUAAGAUUUAACUGACGCUGAUGGACGAAAGCGUGGGGAGCGAACA
RNAcentral lists this ribosomal RNA (422 nucleotides) under uncultured bacterium. RNAcentral's name for it is "bacterial SSU rRNA". It matches the Rfam family "Bacterial small subunit ribosomal RNA", at positions 355 to 774 of the family's 1533-position model. The record is from RNAcentral.